This 205-nucleotide unclassified non-coding RNA is filed under the name Hevea brasiliensis (rubber tree). Lineage: Eukaryota; Viridiplantae; Streptophyta; Magnoliopsida; Malpighiales; Euphorbiaceae. The record is from RNAcentral.
CUUCUCGAUUAAAGGGGUAAAAAAGGAAGAAUAUAUUUGGCCUAUACUUGGUAAGAUUAUAAACAAAUUGUGCCUCAACAUGAAAUAAACUUUUCUUUAAAAAUAUUAUUACAAGAAUAAUGACUGAAGCCCUUCUAUUUAGGGAAUGUUAUAAUCAAUAUAGUCCAUCUUUUGCCCUUCCUUUUUUACCCCUUUAAUCGAGAAG